Molecule: ribosomal RNA, 292 nt
Filed under: uncultured bacterium
Lineage: Bacteria
Description: partial 16S ribosomal RNA
Source: RNAcentral
GGACUACUAGGGUUUCUAAUCCCAUUUGCUCCCCUGGCUUUCGUUCCUCAGCGUCAGUUAUGGCCCAGUAAGUCGCCUACGCCACCGGUGUUCUUCCUGAUAUCUACGCAUUUCACCGCUACACCAGGAAUUCCACUUACCUCUACCAUACUCCAGUCUGCCAGUAUCCAAUGCACUCCCAGGGUUGGGCCCUGAUCUUUAACAUCGGACUUAGCAAACCGCCUACGAACUCUUUACGCCCAAUAAAUCCGGACAACGCUCGCAUCCUACGUCUUACCGCGGCUGCUGGCAC